Molecule: transfer RNA, 71 nt
Filed under: archaeon
Lineage: Archaea
Description: tRNA-Ala
Rfam family: tRNA
About the family: Transfer RNA (tRNA) molecules are approximately 80 nucleotides in length. Their secondary structure includes four short double-helical elements and three loops (D, anti-codon, and T loops).
Source: RNAcentral
GGGCCUGUAGAUUAGUGGAAGAUCAUUGACUCGCUAUCAAGAGGUCACGGGUUCAAUUCCCGUCAGGUCCA